RNAcentral lists this ribosomal RNA (253 nucleotides) under uncultured bacterium. Its description in RNAcentral is "partial 16S ribosomal RNA". It matches the Rfam family "Bacterial small subunit ribosomal RNA", at positions 524 to 776 of the family's 1533-position model. The record is from RNAcentral.
UACGUAGGGUGCGAGCGUUAAUCGGAAUUACUGGGCGUAAAGCGUGCGCAGGCGGUUUUGUAAGUCUGUCGUGAAAUCCCCGGGCUCAACCUGGGAAUUGCGAUGGAGACUGCAAGGCUAGAAUCUGGCAGAGGGGGGUAGAAUUCCACGUGUAGCAGUGAAAUGCGUAGAUAUCAGGAGGAAUACCGAUGGCGAAGGCAGGUCUCUGGGCCAAUACUGACGCUCAUGCACGAAAGCGUGGGGAGCAAACAGG